UACGAAGGGGGCUAGCGUUGUUCGGAUUUACUGGGCGUAAAGGGCGCGUAGGCGGCCUGCUAAGUCGAACGUGAAAUCCCUGGGCUCAACCCAGGAACUGCGUCUGAUACUGGUUGGCUUGAAUCCGGGAGAGGGAUGUGGAAUUCCAGGUGUAGCGGUGAAAUGCGUAGAUAUCUGGAGGAACACCGGUGGCGAAGGCGACAGCCUGGACCGGUAUUGACGCUGAGGCGCGAAAGCCAGGGGAGCAAACGGG
This 253-nucleotide ribosomal RNA is filed under the name uncultured bacterium. RNAcentral's name for it is "partial 16S ribosomal RNA". It matches the Rfam family "Bacterial small subunit ribosomal RNA", at positions 524 to 776 of the family's 1533-position model. The record is from RNAcentral.